Molecule: ribosomal RNA, 253 nt
Filed under: uncultured bacterium
Lineage: Bacteria
Description: partial 16S ribosomal RNA
Rfam family: Bacterial small subunit ribosomal RNA
Source: RNAcentral
CACGUAGGGCGCAAGCGUUGUCCGGAAUUAUUGGGCGUAAAGAGCUCGUAGGCGGUCUGUUGCGUCCGCUGUGAAAACUCGGGGCUUAACCCCGAGCCUGCAGUGGAUACGGGCAGACUAGAGGUAGGUAGGGGAGAAUGGAAUUCCCGGUGUAGCGGUGAAAUGCGCAGAUAUCGGGAGGAACACCGGUGGCGAAGGCGGUUAUCUGGGCCUUAACUGACGCUGAGGAGCGAAAGCGUGGGGAGCGAACAGG